AGCCCACUCGAGCCCUGCUCGGCGUUGGGGCGCGCGGGUCCCGCAGCGGCCCGCAGCCCCGAAGGCUAGCGGCGGCGGCCCUGGGAGCCCUCUGCGUAGUGAAACCCUCGCACCGGGAGCCCUCGGCCCGCCAGCCACGACCACUGAGCCCUAGGCUCACUAAC
RNAcentral lists this unclassified non-coding RNA (164 nucleotides) under uncultured Ascomycota. Its description in RNAcentral is "sequence contains ITS2". The record is from RNAcentral. Lineage: Eukaryota; Fungi; Ascomycota.